UUCGCGUUAGACGGAAGCCCUUAACUUCAUCUCCACCGGUUCUUCCGUCCUCUUCUACAUGCAGCAUGGCAGCAGGAAAGAACUCACGAUGCUCCUCUCAGAGGUUUCUUCAAAUGUUACCCAUUGGAAGCAAAAAGCUGUCCAGUUUUUCUGCAGCAAGCCUGACCGUAAGCUGUAUGGAUUCCAGCUGGGAAUGGUGCCUGGGUGACUUGCAUGAAGGCUAAGGAGCAGAAAAUGAAUCUGAUUUGAAGAUGGCUUCCACAGAAUAAACUUCAUAGCUAUCGGACAAAGAUCUGAGGUUGCUGUGUUUCACACGCUCCUGAGAUGGAAGCUCUUGGUUAGCUAUGACCUCGCUGAGUUUGAGACCUGGGUUAUGCACGAGUCAACAAAUGGGAAAGUUACCACAUGAUUCUGCUGGUGAUGGACUUUUAUUUUAAUGGUUUAUGCACGAGUCAACAAAUGGGAAAGUUACCACAUGAUUCUGCUGACUGAAAGCUGGUGAUGGACUUUUAUUUGAAAGGUUUAUGCACGAGUCAACAAAUGGGAAAGUUACCACAUGAUUCUGCUGACUGAAAGCUGGUGAUGGACUUUUAUUUGAAAGGUUUAUGCUUACAGGUUUAUGCACGAGUCAACAAAUGGGAAAGUUACCACAUGAUUCUGCUGAUGACUGAAAGCUGGUGAUGGACUUUUAUUUGAAUGGUUCCUUUUUGUCUUCACUGGCCAGAAAACUGCUGCCCUCAAGCAAGAUGAAUGAUGAAACUACAACUCUUUGUUUAAUGAAGGACAAUAUAAUGGUGUCUGGUAACUGUUUUGACAAAUAAACUCUAUAAAAUAA
Molecule: long non-coding RNA, 835 nt
Organism: Trematomus bernacchii (emerald rockcod)
Lineage: Eukaryota; Metazoa; Chordata; Actinopteri; Perciformes; Nototheniidae
Exons: 7
Source: RefSeq, a predicted model, not a curated record